UGGGGAAUAUUGCACAAUGGGCGCAAGCCUGAUGCAGCCAUUCCGCGUGUAUGAAGAAGGCCUUCGGGUUGUAAAGUACUUUCAGCGGGGAGGAAGGGAGUAAAGUUAAUACCUUUGCUCAUUGACGUUACCCGCAGAAGAAGCACCGGCUAACUCCGUGCCAGCAGCCGCGGUAAUACGGAGGGUGCAAGCGUUAAUCGGAAUUACUGGGCGUAAAGCGCACGCAGGCGGUUUGUUAAGUCAGAUGUGAAAUCCCCGGGCUCAACCUGGGAACUGCAUCUGAUACUGGCAAGCUUGAGUCUCGUAGAGGGGGGUAGAAUUCCAGGUGUAGCGGUGAAAUGCGUAGAGAUCUGGAGGAAUACCGGUGGCGAAGGCGGCCCCCUGGACGAAGACUGACGCUCAGGUGCGAAAGCGUGGGGAGCAAACA
RNAcentral lists this ribosomal RNA (427 nucleotides) under uncultured bacterium. RNAcentral describes it as "partial 16S ribosomal RNA". It matches the Rfam family "Bacterial small subunit ribosomal RNA", at positions 355 to 774 of the family's 1533-position model. The record is from RNAcentral.